RNAcentral lists this unclassified non-coding RNA (239 nucleotides) under Basidiomycota sp. RNAcentral's name for it is "partial contains small subunit ribosomal RNA, internal transcribed spacer 1, and 5.8S ribosomal RNA". The stretch from base 1 to 47 matches the Rfam family "Eukaryotic small subunit ribosomal RNA", at positions 1785 to 1831 of the family's 1831-position model. Lineage: Eukaryota; Fungi; Basidiomycota. The record is from RNAcentral.
AAAGUCGUAACAAGGUUUCCGUAGGUGAACCUGCGGAAGGAUCAUUACAAAUCCAUCCACGUCUCACAUCCUGAGACCACGUUGAAAUGUUCCCCAGAGCCUCUGCAGGCCCCUAUCCCUAGGAUAUCGGCAUGCAUGCUCUGGGCUGUUAAACUAGUUACCUCUGUUGCUCAAAUGUAUCUUGAUUUUCAAUCAAACGAAAACUUGUACAACUUAUAACAAUGGAUCUCUAGGCUCUU